Molecule: ribosomal RNA, 205 nt
Filed under: uncultured bacterium
Lineage: Bacteria
Description: partial 16S ribosomal RNA
Rfam family: Bacterial small subunit ribosomal RNA
Source: RNAcentral
UUGUAGUCUGCAACUCGACUACAUGAAGCUGGAAUCGCUAGUAAUCGCGAAUCAGCAUGUCGCGGUGAAUACGUUCCCGGGUCUUGUACACACCGCCCGUCACACCAUGGGAGUUGGUAACGCCCGAAGCCAGUGACCCAACCGGAAACGGAGGGAGCUGUCGAAGGUGGGACCGAUAACUGGGGUGAAGUCGUAACAAGGUAAC